AGAGUUUGAUCCUGGCUCAGAUUGAACGCUGGCGGCAUGCCUUACACAUGCAAGUCGAACGGGCUUUGGGGCUUGCUCCAAAGUUAGUGGCGAACGGGUGAGUAAUAUAUCGGAACGUACCCUUGAGUGGGGGAUAACAUAGCGAAAGUUAUGCUAAUACCGCAUACGAUCUAAGGAUGAAAGGUGGGGGACCGCAAGGC
Molecule: ribosomal RNA, 200 nt
Filed under: uncultured bacterium
Lineage: Bacteria
Description: partial 16S ribosomal RNA
Rfam family: Bacterial small subunit ribosomal RNA
Source: RNAcentral